UCGCUGCCUGGCCGAGAUGCACGCGGCGGGCCUGUCGAGCGCGCAGAUCUCCUGGGUGGGGCCGCUCCGGUUCUACUCCGGCGCGGUCGG
Molecule: transfer RNA, 90 nt
Filed under: Microtetraspora sp. NBRC 16547
Lineage: Bacteria; Bacillati; Actinomycetota; Actinomycetes; Streptosporangiales; Streptosporangiaceae
Description: tRNA-Asp
Source: RNAcentral